Molecule: ribosomal RNA, 484 nt
Filed under: uncultured bacterium
Lineage: Bacteria
Description: partial 16S ribosomal RNA
Rfam family: Bacterial small subunit ribosomal RNA
Source: RNAcentral
AUUGAACGCUGGCGGCAGGCCUAACACAUGCAAGUCGAGCGGAUGAAGGGAGCUUGCUCCUGGAUUCAGCGGCGGACGGGUGAGUAAUGCCUAGGAAUCUGCCUGGUAGUGGGGGAUAACGUCCGGAAACGGGCGCUAAUACCGCAUACGUCCUGAGGGAGAAAGUGGGGGAUCUUCGGACCUCACGCUAUCAGAUGAGCCUAGGUCGGAUUAGCUAGUUGGUGGGGUAAAGGCCUACCAAGGCGACGAUCCGUAACUGGUCUGAGAGGAUGAUCAGUCACCCCGGAACCUAGACACCGUCCCUACUCCUACGGGAGGCCGCCGGUGGGAAUAUUUGACAAUGGGCCAAAGCCUUAUCCCGCCCUGCCGCGUGUGGUAAGAAGGUCCUUCGAUUGUAAAGCCCCUUAAGUUGGGAGGAAGGGCAGUAAGUUAAUACCUUGCUUUUUUGACGUUACCCACAGAAUAAGCCCCGGCUAACUUCCUU